GAAAUGCGAUAAGUAAUGUGAAUUGCAGAAUUCCGUGAAUCAUCGAAUCUUUGAACGCACAUUGCGCCCUCUGGCAUUCCGGGGGGCAUGCCUGUCCGAGCGUCAUUACGCACCCUCAAGCCCGGCUUGUGUGAUGGGCCCCGGCGUCUCGUUCGCGAGACGGGCCCGAAAGGCAGCGGCGGCGUCGACCCGAUGAGUCCGAGCGUAUGGGGACUUCUGUCACACGUUCGCGGUGCGGACCGGCGCCUGCUUUGACUUUUCUGAUUAUCCAGGUUGACCUCGGAUCAGGUAGGGAUACCCGCUGAACUUAAGC
This 313-nucleotide unclassified non-coding RNA is filed under the name plant metagenome. RNAcentral describes it as "partial contains 5.8S ribosomal RNA, internal transcribed spacer 2, and large subunit ribosomal RNA". The stretch from base 1 to 105 matches the Rfam family "5.8S ribosomal RNA", at positions 50 to 154 of the family's 154-position model. The record is from RNAcentral.